GUGCAGCAGGCGCGAAAACUCCGCAAUGCGCGAAAGCGUGACGGGGUUACCCCGAGUGCCGUCCGCUGAGGAUGGCUUUUGCCCGGUUUAACCAGCCGGGUGAAUAAGGGGAGGGCAAGUCUGGUGUCAGCCGCCGCGGUAAUACCAGCUCCCCGAGUGGUUGGGACGAUUAUUGGGUCUAAAGCGUCCGUAGCCGGCCGGAAAAGUUCCCCGUUAAAUCUGACGAUCCAAUCGUCGGGCUGCGGGGAAUACGCGUCGGCGUGGGGGCGAGGGAGGUCGGCGGUAGUCUCGGGGUAGUGGCGAAAUCCUAUAAUCCCGAGAGGACCACCAGUGGCGAAGGCGGCCGACUAAAGUGCGCCCGACGGUGAGGGACGAAAGCUGGGGGAGCGAACGGGAUUAGAUACCCCGGUAGUCC
Molecule: ribosomal RNA, 415 nt
Filed under: uncultured archaeon
Lineage: Archaea
Description: partial 16S ribosomal RNA
Rfam family: Archaeal small subunit ribosomal RNA
Source: RNAcentral